Molecule: long non-coding RNA, 1315 nt
Filed under: Capsicum annuum
Lineage: Eukaryota; Viridiplantae; Streptophyta; Magnoliopsida; Solanales; Solanaceae
Description: long non-coding RNA (CANN_LNC010883)
Source: RNAcentral
AAUUAAUUGUUUUAUCAUAGUAUUUAUUAGUUGUUUGUUUUAAUCUUAAUAAUUCUUGUAUAUUUUCAUUAAGGAAUUCUAUAUAUUUUAUAUCUUUAGUUCUCAUAUAUUUUUCUAGAUUUGUUUUCAUUAGUUUUUCUAUUAAUUUUAUAUUUUUCGUAUCCAUUUUCCAAUAUUUUGAUUAUACGUAAUUAUCACGAUUGAUGUGUAGGUUUGGUAUGUAAGUAUUUGUAAGAAUAAGUAGGUAGGUGUGGUAUGUAAUUUAUUCUAGUCAGAAAAUAUUUAUCAAAUAUUUUUUUCAAUAUGAUUUUUCUUAUAUAUACAAUUUUUAUAUCUUUAAGUACAUACAAAACAAGUAUUUUAAAUUUAUCUACCAUUUCGUCAGAUAAGUAAGUAUUCAUUUUUGAUAUAAUGUUUUUUCAAAAUAUUCCCUUCAAUCAUACACAUAACAAAAUAUGAUCAUUUUAGAUUACUAUAUAUUAUAUUAUCCUUAAAUAAUAUGUUCUUCGGUCACUAUUAGCAUGGUAUGUUUUCAUUAGUUUUUCUAUUAAUUUUAUAUUUUUUGUAUCCAUUUUCCAAUAUUUUAAUUAUACGUAAUUAUCACGGUUGAUGUGUAGGUUUGGUAUGUAAGUAUUUGUAAGAAUAAGUAGGUAGGUGUGGUAUAUAAUUUAUUCUAGUCAGAAAAUAUUUAUCAAAUAUUUUUUUCACUAUGAUUUUUCUUAUAUAUACAAUUUUUAUAUCCUUAAGUACAUACAAAACAAGUAUUUUAAAUUUAUCUACCAUUUCGUCAGAUAAGUAAGUAUUCAUUUUUCAUAUAAUUCUUUUUCAAAAUAUUCCCUUCAGUCAUACACAUAACAAAAUAUAAUUAUUUUAGAUUACUAUAUAUUAGAUUAUCCUUAAAUAACAUGUUCUUCGGUCACUAUUAGCAUGGUAAUCUGGAUACUUUUCCCUUAAACAGUGCCUCUACUUUGGCUACUCCCCUAUCACGGCUUUCUUGCCUCACCAGUUUCACCUUUAGGAUGACAUAGUUCUUUAGGGAUUUUUCUCCUUUUCCACUUUGCUAAUAAACUUCUUAACAUGCUAUUUUUCAAAUAAUUCUACUAUAAAGUAACUAACAUGAACUUAUUUUAUCAUAUCAUGAAUGUCAGGAAUUUAUGAAUUUAGCUAUUCAUAAUCAUAAAUAUAAAUACCUGUUCUGGUAAAUCUAAUAAUUCUAUAUUUUCCAUAGUUGUUUGAUGAUUCAUAGCUUUUCCUUGGAAAUAUACCUGUUUUUAUUAAAUAAUUUAAAAAUUUUGUGUACAAGAGAGGGUUUUGC